GACGAACGCUGGCGGCGUGCCUAAUACAUGCAAGUAGAACGCUGAAGGAGGAGCUUGCUCUUCUGGAUGAGUUGCGAACGGGUGAGUAACGCGUAGGUGACCUGCCUGGUAGUGGGGGAUAACUAUUGGAAACGAUAGCUAAUACCGCAUAAUAACAGUUGUUGCAUGACAACUGUUUGAAAGGUGCAAUUGCAUCACUACCAGAUGGACCUGCGUUGUAUUAGCUAGUUGGUGGGGUAACGGCUCACCAAGGCGACGAUACAUAGCCGACCUGAGAGGGUGAUCGGCCACACUGGGACUGAGACACGGCCCAGACUCCUACGGGAGGCAGCAGUAGGGAAUCUUCGGCAAUGGACGAAAGUCUGACCGAGCAACGCCGCGUGAGUGAAGAAGGUUUUCGGAUCGUAAAGCUCUGUUGUAAGAGAAGAACGAGUGUGAGAGUGGAAAGUUCACACUGUGACGGUAUCUUACCAGAAAGGGACGGCUAACUACGUGC
RNAcentral lists this ribosomal RNA (496 nucleotides) under uncultured Streptococcus sp. RNAcentral's name for it is "bacterial SSU rRNA". It matches the Rfam family "Bacterial small subunit ribosomal RNA", at positions 28 to 508 of the family's 1533-position model. Lineage: Bacteria; Bacillati; Bacillota; Bacilli; Lactobacillales; Streptococcaceae. The record is from RNAcentral.